AUUAGAGGUUCGCUUUAUAAUGAACUACGAACUUCGGACGGGGCGAAGCGCCAACAGCAACGAUAUUGCGGGCCUGUUGUGGCAAUGACAUUCAAUUUCAUGGUUGCUGUUGGAAUUAUAAUGGCAAACAAAUUAGUGAUGGGAAGAGUUGGAUUUAACUUCCCAAUAUUUCUCACAUUAAUCCAUUACACUAUUGCUUGGUUUCUACUAGCAAUUUUCAAG
This 222-nucleotide unclassified non-coding RNA is filed under the name Hevea brasiliensis (rubber tree). The record is from RNAcentral. Lineage: Eukaryota; Viridiplantae; Streptophyta; Magnoliopsida; Malpighiales; Euphorbiaceae.